Molecule: long non-coding RNA, 270 nt
Organism: Rhipicephalus microplus (southern cattle tick)
Lineage: Eukaryota; Metazoa; Arthropoda; Arachnida; Ixodida; Ixodidae
Source: RefSeq, a predicted model, not a curated record
UUAUGUAGAAGCCCAAAAAGCUAUCUUGCAAUAGUUGAUUCAAGUGGUUGAUUCAAGUGGUGCAAGGACGUUUUGAGAGGGGGCAACAGUGGUUAACCAUCUACAUUUUGACAUUCUCAACCGCGUUUGAACAAGACUAGGUAGAAUAAAUUUGCUGAAUUUUUGUUCUCCUCUAAAGUGUCUUUACUGCACCAUAAACCAGGCGCUCCUAGCAUUUCUCCAAUUAGUCUGCAUGUGCUGUUCAGCCCUUAACUAACAACUUUCAUGAGG